Rosa chinensis is the source of this 1643-nucleotide RNA transcript. It is a transcript of the gene named bystin, with no coding region annotated. Lineage: Eukaryota; Viridiplantae; Streptophyta; Magnoliopsida; Rosales; Rosaceae. The record is from RefSeq and is a predicted model, not a curated record. The transcript is spliced from 4 exons.
ACUUCAUUAAUUGGAAAAACUCUCAGAUAUUUUUGUCUGAAGCUCUCUUUUCUCUCGUUAUUUUAUAAAGCUUCUUUUGGAGAAACAGUAUGCUUUGCCAAAUCCUGUAAUCGAGGCUCUUGUUGCACAUUUUAUGAGAUCUGUGGAGGAACCAAGAGUAAUGCCUGUGAUAUGGCACCAGUCUCUUCUUGCAUUUGUGCAAAGGAAGGUUAUAACCGUUAUAACUUUGUAAGAGGUUUUUGCUUGCCUAAAUGAUUAAUGAGCAGCAAUUUUCUUCCAAUUUUGAGUCAUAUUUAAGAGUUCAUGAUUUGUGGUUUUUUUUUCUUUCCAAAUUACAGUUGGUGUGCAUAAUCCCUUGCAGGUACAAAAAUGAUAUAACAAAGGACAACAAAGAUAAGCUUAGGAAUCUUCUUGAAGCACAAAACCACCGUGAGAAACAAUGCCAGAGUUGAUAGCGCACGUGCAUAUUGGUUCAACCUUUAAGUCCAAGAUUCAUAUCUACAGAAUAAUUUGGAAAAAAAAAUUGGUACAAGUUGUGUUCCCCUUGACUUUACAUACAUUCUCUGAUGUCUGUGUUCAAUAAACCAAUCGAUGAAGACAUGUUUGAUAUUCCAGAGGUGCCUCUGGAGGAUGACUAAUUCAAUACUAGGUGGGUCUGGCUAAAGAAAUAAUGCACAAGUACAUGCUUGGGAGGAAAUGCAAUACUGUUCUUGCAUUGGAAUGGCAUUAAUGUAGCCACCUGGUAUCAGGCAGUCAAUGUGGUUACUUUUAUACCAGUAUUUUAGUUUUAUGUUUUGGGUUGGGGUAUGACACAAUGAAUCCUCAAACCCAGAAAUGAUUUUUCCUUAGCCCUCUUGUAGAGUUAAGGCUUCUACCUUUUGGGUUGGGGUAUGAAUAUGACACAAUGAACCCUCAAAUCCAAAAUGAGUUUUCCUUAGUCCCCUAGUAGAGUUAAGGCUUCUACUCUUUUGGCGGGAAGAGAUGAUUGGACAAGUCUUUUGUACCCAACUUGUUAAUUUAUUUUCUGGAGUGAAAUUUAUCAAACUAUUGUUUUCUUUUUAGAAAAUUUUCCUUUUCGGUCUACCUGCUUUUAAGGAUGCUUUCUCAAAGACUUGACUUUAAUUGGUCAUGAUGUUUUUCUUUGGUCAAAUGUUUUGCCAUGGAGGUUUCUAUUGGUAAUUGUUAUCUCGCAGAUUGGCCGGCUAUGGGAAGUUGCUUAGUACUCCUAUUUUUGUCCUUACAAAAUUUUUAAUACUUUAGUUAGUUUGGAGUUCUAGCUAGAAAUUUCCCUUGAGCAUUAUGGAUGAGGCCUACUAUAGUGUGAAAAUUGAUUAUUUGAUUUACUGUGAUUCCUGCUGUUUUGAAGCUUAUGAAGAAUUAUACUCCCAGCUGAUCAGGUCUCAAGAUUUUCAAUAUUUGUAUAUAUUCCCUAUAUUCCUGGGGUUUCUUGGACUGCAAGUUCCUCCGCUAGGACUCUUUAGAGUACUGUGCGUUUGAUAAUACAUAUAUAUUGUCUGAAGCAAGAAGUAGGUGGCUUCAAUAGUGGAGUUACGUACUGAGCGACCUCAUAUUUUCUUCUAUUGGUACAGGAUCGACAUUUUUCUUUUUCUUUUUGAGAAUACAGGAUCGACAUUUAAAAUUUU